This 513-nucleotide ribosomal RNA is filed under the name uncultured bacterium. RNAcentral describes it as "bacterial SSU rRNA". It matches the Rfam family "Bacterial small subunit ribosomal RNA", at positions 33 to 518 of the family's 1533-position model. The record is from RNAcentral.
ACGCUGGCGGCGUGCCUAAUACAUGCAAGUCGAACGGUCUUUCUAUGGAAGCUUGCUUCCACUGAGAAGAUAGUGGCGAACGGGUGAGUAACACGUGGGUAACCUGCCCAUAAGAGGGGGAUAACAUCCGGAAACGGGUGCUAAUACCGCAUAGUUUUUCUUGAUCGCAUGAUUGAGAAAGGAAAGACGGCCUUUGUGCUGUCGCUUAUGGAUGGACCCGCGGCGUAUUAGUUAGUUGGUGAGGUAACGGCUCACCAAGACGAUGAUACGUAGCCGACCUGAGAGGGUGAUCGGCCACAUUGGGACUGAGACACGGCCCAAACUCCUACGGGAGGCAGCAGUAGGGAAUCUUCCGCAAUGGACGAAGUCUGACGGAGCAACGCCGCGUGAGUGAAGAAGGUUUUUCCGGAUCGUAAAACUCUGUUGUCAGAGAAGAACAAGUUGGAGAGUAACUGCUCCAGCCUUGACGGUAUCUGACCAGAAAGCCACGGCUAACUACGUGCCAGCAGCCGC